RNAcentral lists this ribosomal RNA (987 nucleotides) under Enterococcus durans. RNAcentral's name for it is "bacterial SSU rRNA". It matches the Rfam family "Bacterial small subunit ribosomal RNA", at positions 56 to 1012 of the family's 1533-position model. Lineage: Bacteria; Bacillati; Bacillota; Bacilli; Lactobacillales; Enterococcaceae. The record is from RNAcentral.
UGCAAGUCGUACGCUUCUUUUUCCACCGGAGCUUGCUCCACCGGAAAAAGAAGAGUGGCGAACGGGUGAGUAACACGUGGGUAACCUGCCCAUCAGAAGGGGAUAACACUUGGAAACAGGUGCUAAUACCGUAUAACAAUCGAAACCGCAUGGUUUUGAUUUGAAAGGCGCUUUCGGGUGUCGCUGAUGGAUGGACCCGCGGUGCAUUAGCUAGUUGGUGAGGUAACGGCUCACCAAGGCCACGAUGCAUAGCCGACCUGAGAGGGUGAUCGGCCACAUUGGGACUGAGACACGGCCCAAACUCCUACGGGAGGCAGCAGUAGGGAAUCUUCGGCAAUGGACGAAAGUCUGACCGAGCAACGCCGCGUGAGUGAAGAAGGUUUUCGGAUCGUAAAACUCUGUUGUUAGAGAAGAACAAGGAUGAGAGUAACUGUUCAUCCCUUGACGGUAUCUAACCAGAAAGCCACGGCUAACUACGUGCCAGCAGCCGCGGUAAUACGUAGGUGGCAAGCGUUGUCCGGAUUUAUUGGGCGUAAAGCGAGCGCAGGCGGUUUCUUAAGUCUGAUGUGAAAGCCCCCGGCUCAACCGGGGAGGGUCAUUGGAAACUGGGAGACUUGAGUGCAGAAGAGGAGAGUGGAAUUCCAUGUGUAGCGGUGAAAUGCGUAGAUAUAUGGAGGAACACCAGUGGCGAAGGCGGCUCUCUGGUCUGUAACUGACGCUGAGGCUCGAAAGCGUGGGGAGCAAACAGGAUUAGAUACCCUGGUAGUCCACGCCGUAAACGAUGAGUGCUAAGUGUUUGGAGGGUUUCCGCCCUUCAGUGCUGCAGCUAACGCAUUAAGCACUCCGCCUGGGGAGUACGACCGCAAGGUUGAAACUCAAAGGAAUUUGACGGGGGCCCGCACAAGCGGUGGAGCAUGUGUUUAAUUCGAAGCAACGCGAAGAACCUUACCAGGUCUUGACAUCCUUUGACCACUCUAGAGAUAGAGC